RNAcentral lists this ribosomal RNA (492 nucleotides) under uncultured bacterium. RNAcentral describes it as "partial 16S ribosomal RNA". It matches the Rfam family "Bacterial small subunit ribosomal RNA", at positions 29 to 507 of the family's 1533-position model. The record is from RNAcentral.
AGUGAACGCUGGCGGUAGGCCUAACACAUGCAAGUCGAACGGCAGCACAGUAAGAGCUUGCUCUUACGGGUGGCGAGUGGCGGACGGGUGAGGAAUACAUCGGAAUCUACUUUUUCGUGGGGGAUAACGUAGGGAAACUUACGCUAAUACCGCAUACGACCUACGGGUGAAAGCAGGGGAUCUUCGGACCUUGCGCGAUUGAAUGAGCCGAUGUUGGAUUAGCUAGUUGGCGGGGUAAAGGCCCACCAAGGCGACGAUCCGUAGCUGGGCUGAGAGGAUGAUCAGCCACACUGGAACUGAGACACGGUCCAGACUCCUACGGGAGGCAGCAGUGGGGAAUAUUGGACAAUGGGCGCAAGCCUGAUCCAGCCAUACCGCGUGGGUGAAGAAGGCCUUCGGGUUGUAAAGCCCUUUUGUUGGGAAAGAAAAGCAGCAGGUUAAUACCCCGCUGUUCUGACGGUACCCAAAGAAUAAGCACCGGCUAACUUCGUG